RNAcentral lists this ribosomal RNA (253 nucleotides) under uncultured bacterium. RNAcentral describes it as "partial 16S ribosomal RNA". It matches the Rfam family "Bacterial small subunit ribosomal RNA", at positions 524 to 776 of the family's 1533-position model. The record is from RNAcentral.
UACGGAGGGUGCAAGCGUUAUCCGGAUUCACUGGGUUUAAAGGGUGCGUAGGCGGGUAAUUAAGUCCGUGGUGAAAUCUCUGAGCUUAACUCAGAAACUGCCGUGGAUACUAUUUGCCUUGAAUAUUGUGGAGGUGAGCGGAAUAUGUCAUGUAGCGGUGAAAUGCUUAGAUAUGACAUAGAACACCAAUUGCGAAGGCAGCUCACUACACAAUCAUUGACGCUGAGGCGCGAAAGCGUGGGGAUCAAACAGG